GAUGAACGCUGGCGGCGUGCCUAAUACAUGCAAGUCGAACGCAUAGCGAAAGGUGCUUGCACCUUUCAAGUGAGUGGCGAACGGGUGAGUAACACGUGGACAACCUGCCUCAAGGCUGGGGAUAACAUUUGGAAACAGAUGCUAAUACCGAAUAAAACUUAGUGUCGCAUGACACAAAGUUAAAAGGCGCUCCGGCGUCACCUAGAGAUGGAUCCGCGGUGCAUUAGUUAGUUGGUGGGGUAAAGGCCUACCAAGACAAUGAUGCAUAGCCGAGUUGAGAGACUGAUCGGCCACAUUGGGACUGAGACACGGCCCAAACUCCUACGGGAGGCUGCAGUAGGGAAUCUUCCACAGUGGGCGAAAGCCUGAUGGAGCAACGCCGCGUGUGUGAUGAAGGCUUUCGGGUCGUAAAGCACUGUUGUAUGGGAAGAACAGCUAGAAUAGGAAAUGAUUUUAGUUUGACGGUACCAUACCAGAAAGGGACGGCUAAAUACGUG
Molecule: ribosomal RNA, 497 nt
Filed under: uncultured bacterium
Lineage: Bacteria
Description: partial 16S ribosomal RNA
Rfam family: Bacterial small subunit ribosomal RNA
Source: RNAcentral